This 1335-nucleotide ribosomal RNA is filed under the name Triticum aestivum (bread wheat). Its description in RNAcentral is "partial small subunit ribosomal RNA". The record is from RNAcentral. Lineage: Eukaryota; Viridiplantae; Streptophyta; Magnoliopsida; Poales; Poaceae.
AUGCAUGAGUCGAGAGCUCAGCUUAGGACGAGAGAGCGAUCUUGCAAGGGAGGUAUGGUGGUGAAGAAGCGUCAGGAGAAAAUUGGCAAGAGAAAAUCAUGUACGCAGGUGCCACGUGGUGAGAGGAAGGCUCUGCUAAAUCGUCGUAAUGCAAGCUUUGCAAGUAGGGUGAAGACCCCAACUGCUAGGACCAUCUUCGUACCGAAAUUGAGCUCAACGGGACAACCAACCAUACUUGAAGCACAUGGUGCCUCAACCUCAUCUACCACGCCCAGGAGUAAAGACAACAUGGACGCUUACCUUAGUGGUCUCAUGAAUGAUAAUGCCAACCCUGACAACCUCUUCGACGAUGAGUAUUACCUAUUUGUUGGUGAAGGCUCGGUUGCUGAUGACAUGGAGCACGACGAAUUGGAAGACUCAAGUCACAAUACCUAUGUCGACCAUGAUCCCUUGGACUAUGUGUACUCGAACCUCCCCGACAGUACACACAUCCUCAAGCACGCCGCGAACUGCAACCGCUGCAAGGCCAAGAAGUUUGUGUCCGAGGCCCCGGGAUUUUGCUAUCGCAAUGGGCAGAUCGAGCUGAAGCAACCGGAGCCCAUCCCAGAGCUAAUGAUGCAUUGGUCUAGCCAGGAUGCGUACUCUAGGCAUUUUCGGGAGAACAUACGGUUCUUCAAUGGCCACUUCUCCUUCACAACGCUCGGCGUCAGCCUGGAUGAAAGCUACACAAAUAUGAAGUCUGGGGUGUACACCUUCCGGGCGCACAACACCAUCUACCACAACGUUCAUUCCUUCGGGACAACAUCCCGUCUAGAGCAUCUACAGUUGUACUUCUACGACGACGACCCAGGCCUAACCCAUCGCCAGCCUGCCACCAAGCAAUUAGAUCAGAAUGUCGUCAGAAAAUUAGUGGACAUACUCAAGGAAAACCCUUACUCCCAGCAAUAUAGGAGUUUGGGUGCCCACAGGGACAACCUCGACGAUUACAGGAUAGACCUCAACACGGACCAGAGACUAGAUCAACGGAAGUAUAAUAGACCUCUAUCAUCGGAGGUCGCUGCAAUUUGGGUGGAGGGCACUAACCUAGCGAAGAGGAUCGAUCGUAGGAUUACACUUAGCGGGAAUGACAACCAGAGGCACAGUAUACAUGUGACGGCUGGCUCGUAUGACCCUCUCCCUUACCACUCUUCUACCCAAGGGGGGAGCUCGGUUGGCACCCGAAACUUCCUAAACGUGAUGUCCCUUGGCCGGUUGUGCAACAACCAAGAGGUAGAGGUGAUGAUGAUGAGGAUGAGGAUGCAGGUAAGCCUUAUGCGUAUUUUGUCGUUGAGAUGA